GGUGGACAGGUAAAGCGUUCAGAGAUGUUUCAGUGUUUGUUUUACGAGGAAUGCUUGGACCUCCUGCUGAAGCUGAGAUUUACUGUAUAUGUGUGUGUGUGUGUGUGUGUGUGUGUAUACACAGAUGAAGGUUUCCACAGGGCUUUUGUAGCUGUUUUUGGAAUCUGGCCACUGCAAGUCAUGUGACAUAUGAGACACAGAUGUCAAAAGAGGGCGGGCUGAUGCUGAGAGAGAUGCUGCAGCUGAUUCGGUGUAUCAGGUGAACAGAUCCUAGAGCUUCUUUUCAUCAUGGUGUGUAAAAGAGAAUUGGGAAACGGUUUGGGAAAUCUGACGUUAAGCAUUCCUAGCUCUGUCAUCAGGGUUCAAAUCCCGGGAUUGUCCGAGAGACAGACUUUAAGCAACGACUGAGCUGUACUGCGCAUGUGCGAAUCUGACUCGCUGCUUCCUGCUUGCUGUUCUUCUACAACAUUCUGACACACGUGCCAAAGCGUGAUGUUUAGGGUCCAGGAACCCGGGGUAGAACAGAAGGCGGGGGACACCUGGACAGGGUGCCAAGCCAAUCGCACACCCAUUCACACACUAUGGAAAAUUUGGAAAUGCCAAUCAGCCUACAAUGCAUGUCUUUGUCUUCAUACCUGAUGGAGGAAACCGGAGUACCCAGAGGAAACCCCUGAAGCACAGGGAAACCUGCUAGCCUCUAUCCCUUAGUGCAUGGUGUUGCCACAUGACGACAAUUAAUUUAUCUCCAAUUUUUGAUCGGCAAUAAUAUAAAACUACAAAAUUUUGUUAUGUAAAUGAAAAAAAGGGGUUUUAACGUUGACAUGAAAAAAGCCAUGUCACAUGACCAGUGCUGAAGUGCUGCAAAAUUGGGGUCUCAAAAUUUUAUUAUAUUUAUGAAAAACUAAUUAAAGAAAAAAAAAAAUUAAACACUAUAUCUGAGAUAAGUUAACAUUAAUAUUUCCCCUUCAUUUUAACAAGUUUGUAUAUUAUGAGUAUUCUGUUAAAUGGUAAAAUGUUCUUGUUGCCAUAUGGCAGCAACAUGCGAUUAUAUAACUGAACAGAAAA
Molecule: long non-coding RNA, 1065 nt
Organism: Ictalurus punctatus (channel catfish)
Lineage: Eukaryota; Metazoa; Chordata; Actinopteri; Siluriformes; Ictaluridae
Source: Ensembl